This is a small nucleolar RNA of Humulus lupulus (European hop), 107 nucleotides long. The record is from RefSeq and is a predicted model, not a curated record. Lineage: Eukaryota; Viridiplantae; Streptophyta; Magnoliopsida; Rosales; Cannabaceae.
CUUCCAUGAUGUGGGUACUUCCUUUGCAACUCUUUAAAAUGUUCCCACACAUCAUGUAAGGACUACCCAUCCAACUGAUGAAAGUUACUAAUUUCUCCUCUAUAUCG